This 253-nucleotide ribosomal RNA is filed under the name uncultured bacterium. Its description in RNAcentral is "partial 16S ribosomal RNA". It matches the Rfam family "Bacterial small subunit ribosomal RNA", at positions 524 to 776 of the family's 1533-position model. The record is from RNAcentral.
UACGGAAGGGGCAAGCGUUGUUCGGAAUCAUUGGGCGUAAAGGGUGCGCAGGCGGUCUGAUGCGUCGUCGCUGAAAGCUCUCGGCUCAACUGAGAGAGGCGUGGCGAUACGAUUAGACUCGAGUCUCUGAGAGGGUGGCGGAACUCCUGGUGUAGUGGUGAAAUGCGUAGAGAUCAGGAAGAACACCCGUGGCGCAAGCGGCCACCUGGCAGAGCACUGACGCUGAGGCACGAAAGCGUGGGUAGCGAACCGG